RNAcentral lists this ribosomal RNA (275 nucleotides) under uncultured prokaryote. RNAcentral describes it as "partial 16S ribosomal RNA". It matches the Rfam family "Bacterial small subunit ribosomal RNA", at positions 524 to 798 of the family's 1533-position model. The record is from RNAcentral.
UACGUAGGUGGCGAGCGUUGUCCGGAUUUACUGGGCGUAAAGGGAGCGUAGGCGGACUUUUAAGUAAGAUGUGAAAUACCCGGGCUCAACUUGGGUGCUGCAUUUCAAACUGGAAGUCUAGAGUGCAGGAGAGGAGAAUGGAAUUCCUAGUGUAGCGGUGAAAUGCGUAGAGAUUAGGAAGAACACCAGUGGCGAAGGCGAUUCUCUGGACUGUAACUGACGCUGAGGCUCGAAAGCGUGGGGAGCAAACAGGAUUAGAUACCCCGGUAGUCCCU